CACUUUUUCUCUAUACAAAUUGUCAACAUGUAAAUUUUUUUAAUCUAGAUUGGUUUAUUGGAUAUUCGGUCUAACUAUAUCCACCAUGAAUCGGACGGCAACAUCACUGCAAUCAAAUUGAACCGGUCACUCGAACAUGAGAGGUGGGAUAAUGACACCUCUCCCUUAUCAACCAGCUACAUCAGUUGGUCUACUCCGAUUGGGUCAAUAUGUUCGUACACGUGGACGUGAGAUUUACUCCGUCAGCGUGCCCUAUACCCACCUCGUGGUGGUCGAGCGUUAGACGCACCUGGUGAGCAGGUCUCUCUGAGAUCGUUAGCUACAGUUGGUGACCAAUUCGAUUCCACGUAUAAAGGUUGGGUCCAACAUUUAAAAAAAAAAACCUUGGAGAAACAACACUGAAUUAUUUGAAUGGUUGCUCUAGAAACAAGGAGGAGGUCCAUGUCAUGCAUGCUGAAUUAGCAGCAACCAUACACGACAUUUGGAAGUGCCCAUUACUUUAUUUUUUUGUAUAUAUUUUUAUUGCAUACAUUCAUAUCUCUCAAUUUAUUCGAGCUUUA
Long non-coding RNA from Tarenaya hassleriana, 560 nucleotides. RefSeq lists it as uncharacterized. The transcript is spliced from 2 exons. NCBI's taxonomy places the organism in Eukaryota, Viridiplantae, Streptophyta, Magnoliopsida, Brassicales, Cleomaceae. The record is from RefSeq and is a predicted model, not a curated record.